This 523-nucleotide ribosomal RNA is filed under the name uncultured bacterium. RNAcentral's name for it is "partial 16S ribosomal RNA". It matches the Rfam family "Bacterial small subunit ribosomal RNA", at positions 28 to 523 of the family's 1533-position model. The record is from RNAcentral.
GACGAACGCUGGCGGCGUGCCUAAUACAUGCAAGUCGAACGCUUUUUCUUUCACCGGAGCUUGCUCCAUCGAAAGAAAAAGAGUGGCGAACGGGUGAGUAACACGUGGGUAACCUGCCCAUCAGAAGGGGAUAACACUUGGAAACAGGUGCUAAUACCGUAUAACACUAUUUUCCGCAUGGAAGAAAGUUGAAAGGCGCUUUUGCGUCACUGAUGGAUGGACCCGCGGUGCAUUAGCUAGUUGGUGAGGUAACGGCUCACCAAGGCAACGAUGCAUAGCGGACCUGAGAGGGUGAUCGGCCACACUGGGACUGAGACACGGCCCAGACUCCUACGGGAGGCAGCAGUAGGGAAUCUUCGGCAAUGGACGAAAGUCUGACCGAGCAACGCCGCGUGAGUGAAGAAGGUUUUCGGAUCGUAAAACUCUGUUGUUAGAGAAGAACAAGGAUGAGAGUAAAAUGUUCGUCCCUUGACGGUAUCUAACCAGAAAGCCAUGGCUAACUACGUGCCAGCCGCCGCAGUAA